ACGCGAUGAAGCCCAGACCUGCAGGGUUCGUGGAUAAUAAACUCAAGCAGCGAGUGAUCCAGUGUAGACUAUGGUCGAAGAAAAAGAAAUGCUUUUAGGAUUCAGGUAGAAAAAGUAUUUAGCAUAAUUAGUAGUGAGAAGGAACUUAAGAAUUUAACAGAAUUAGAAGAUGAACAUUUGGCAAAAAGAGCAAGACAAGGUGAAGAGGAUAAUGACGUCUUGCUCUGUCACCCAGGCUUCAGUGCACUGGCACAAUCAUGGCUUACCGCAGUCUUGAUGUCCCAGGCCCAAGCGAUCCUCCCACCUCAGCCUCACAAGUAGCUGGGAUUACAGGUGUGCGCCAGCAUGCCCAGCUAAUUUUUUAAUUUUUUUGUAGAGACAGAGUCUCCCGUAGUUGCCCAGGCUAGAAUUUGUAUCUUAAUAUCUUAAUUAUAACAGCAUUUCAUUGCAUUCAUAUAAAGCUUUCUACCUUAACAAAAAAUUAUUUAAAUAAGAAAAGGACUUUUUUUUUUUUUCUUAUUUAAAUAAUUUUUUUUUGUUUUUUAGACAGUCUCGUACUGUGGGCCAGGCUGGAGCGUAGUGGCACGAUCUUGGCUCACUGCAACCUCCAUCUCCCGGGCUCAAGUAAUUCUCCU
RNAcentral lists this small RNA (635 nucleotides) under Pongo abelii (Sumatran orangutan). RNAcentral describes it as "retained intron". The record is from RNAcentral. Lineage: Eukaryota; Metazoa; Chordata; Mammalia; Primates; Hominidae.